UUGACCUCAAAUCAGGUAGACACCUCGG
RNAcentral lists this ribosomal RNA (28 nucleotides) under Candida albicans. Its description in RNAcentral is "partial 28S ribosomal RNA". The record is from RNAcentral. Lineage: Eukaryota; Fungi; Ascomycota; Pichiomycetes; Serinales; Debaryomycetaceae.